RNAcentral lists this ribosomal RNA (492 nucleotides) under uncultured bacterium. RNAcentral describes it as "partial 16S ribosomal RNA". It matches the Rfam family "Bacterial small subunit ribosomal RNA", at positions 29 to 507 of the family's 1533-position model. The record is from RNAcentral.
AGUGAACGCUGGCGGUAGGCCUAACACAUGCAAGUCGAACGGCAGCACAGUAAGAGCUUGCUCUUACGGGUGGCGAGUGGCGGACGGGUGAGGAAUACAUCGGAAUCUACUUUUUCGUGGGGGAUAACGUAGGGAAACUUACGCUAAUACCGCAUACGACCUACGGGUGGAAGCAGGGGAUCUUCGGACCUUGCGCGAUUGAGUGAGCCGAUGUCGGAUUAGCUAGUUGGCGGGGUAAAGGCCCACCAAGGCGACGAACCGUAGCUGGUCUGAGAGGAUGAUCAGCCACACUGGAACUGAGACACGGUCCAGACUCCUACGGGAGGCAGCAGUGGGGAAUAUUGGACAAUGGGCGCAAGCCUGAUCCAGCCAUACCGCGUGGGUGAAGAAGGCCUUCGGGUUGUAAAGCCCUUUUGUUGGGAAAGAAAAGCAGCAGGUUAAUACCCCGCUGUUCUGACGGUACCCAAAGAAUAAGCACCGGCUAACUUCGUG